Acanthosepion pharaonis is the source of this 112-nucleotide non-coding RNA. NCBI's taxonomy places the organism in Eukaryota, Metazoa, Mollusca, Cephalopoda, Sepiida, Sepiidae. The record is from the annotation of a GenBank genome assembly.
UCCGGCCAUAUCACCUUUAAACACCUGUUCCGGUACGAUCACCGAAGUUGAGCAAUGUGGAGCCUGGCCAUUACCUAGAUGAGUGGUUGCUUGGGAAUUCAUGGUGAUGUAA